Molecule: non-coding RNA, 966 nt
Filed under: Macrotus waterhousii (Waterhouse's leaf-nosed bat)
Lineage: Eukaryota; Metazoa; Chordata; Mammalia; Chiroptera; Phyllostomidae
Description: 12S ribosomal RNA
Rfam family: Bacterial small subunit ribosomal RNA
Source: RNAcentral
ACUAAGGUUGGUAUAGCCUUUCAUUAGUUGCUAGCAAAACUACACAUGCAAGUAUCCGCCCGCCAGUGAGAAUGCCCUUUAACCCAUGCAUAGGUAUAAAUGGAGCAGGUAUCAAGCACACUAUAUUGUAGCUCAUAACACCUUGCUCAGCCACACCCCCACGGGAAACAGCAGUGACAAAAAUUAAGCCAUGAACGAAAGUUUGACUAAGUUAUGCUAUCCAGGGCUGGUAAAUUUCGUGCCAGCCACCGCGGCCAUACGAUUAGCCCUAAUUAAUGAAUUAACGGCGUAAAACGUGUUUAAGAGUACAUAAAUAAUAAAGUUAAACCGUAGCUAAGCUGUAAAAAGCCCCAGCUACUGUAAAACCUCCUACGAAAGUAACUUUAAUCUGUCUGAAGACACGACAGCUAAGGCCCAAACUGGGAUUAGAUACCCCACUAUGCUUAGCCCUAAACUAAAAAAAUCUAAUACAACAAGAUUUUUCGCCAGAGUACUACUAGCCACAGCCUAAAACUCAAAGGACUUGGCGGUGCUUUAUAUCCUUCUAGAGGAGCCUGUUCUAUAAUCGAUACACCCCGAUAAACCUCACCAACUCUUGCCAACUCAGCCUAUAUACCGCCAUCUUCAGCAAACCCUAAAAAGGAGCUAAAGUAAGCCCAAUAAUAACACAUAAAAACGUUAGGUCAAGGUGUAGCCCAUGAGUUGGAAAGAAAUGGGCUACAUUUCCUAAAAUAGGCCACACUUACUUACACGAGAGUCAUUGUGAAACCAGUGACCAAAGGUGGAUUUAGCAGUAAAUUAAGAAUAGAGCGCUUAAUUGAAUAAGGCCAUGAAGCACGCACACACCGCCCGUCACCCUCCUCAAACACCCUAACGGCAACCUUUAUACUUUAUAAAUUUGCCCUAUUAGCUAGAGGAGAUAAGUCGUAACAUGGUAAGCGUACUGGAAAGUGCGCUUGGACAAUU